Long non-coding RNA from Bos indicus x Bos taurus (hybrid cattle), 569 nucleotides. NCBI's taxonomy places the organism in Eukaryota, Metazoa, Chordata, Mammalia, Artiodactyla, Bovidae. The record is from Ensembl.
AUGGAUUUUUGGGGGCGAUGCUUGGCCUGCUCACCAGUGUCACGCCUCAUCUCAUCUCUAAUUCUUCCUCCUUCUCACUCCUUUCCUCCCUCUUCCAUGCUGCCCCCAGCCCCAAGCUCAAGGGGAGGGGAAGUCUGCCUUACUCCCAGGCAGGACGCUGAAGCCUGCAACUGUAAAUUAGAAAGAACUCCAGAAAGAACUGAAUUGUUUUUGCUAAGAUACUCUUCCCCAUUAAGAGGCAAUCAAUUUACAACUGUGGUUUUAAUCCUUUUUAGAGUUUUGGAGGCCUUUGGGACAGAGGGAAGACUUUGGACUCCCACUCAGGAUAAAGCCACCACACCAGAGACAUCGUUGAGAGGAGACCCAGAGCCUGAGUUCUCCAAGGACAAACCCUGAGCAGAUAACAGUGGCUUCUUCUGGAGAGGGCUCUAGCACUGGGGGCCUCAGGGGAGGAUUUUCCUUGUUGCUCCCUGUAUUUUGGUAUGAUUUGACCUUUUCUGAUGAGAAUGUACCUAAAUAUUAAUUUUGUAUGAAAUAAAAGUUUUUCAAAGAAAGGCUCUGGUAUUCUG